This 820-nucleotide ribosomal RNA is filed under the name Pseudocercospora vitis. RNAcentral describes it as "eukaryotic LSU rRNA". It matches the Rfam family "Eukaryotic large subunit ribosomal RNA", at positions 75 to 934 of the family's 3401-position model. The record is from RNAcentral. Lineage: Eukaryota; Fungi; Ascomycota; Dothideomycetes; Mycosphaerellales; Mycosphaerellaceae.
UUGCCCUAGUAACGGCGAGUGAAGCGGCAACAGCUCAAAUUUGAAAUCUGGCGCAAGCCCGAGUUGUAAUUUGUAGAGGAUGCUUCUGGGUAGCGGCCGGUCUAAGUUCCUUGGAACAGGACGUCAUAGAGGGUGAGAAUCCCGUAUGUGACUGGCUUGCACCCUCCACGUAGCUCCUUCGACGAGUCGAGUUGUUUGGGAAUGCAGCUCUAAAUGGGAGGUAAAUUUCUUCUAAAGCUAAAUACCGGCCAGAGACCGAUAGCGCACAAGUAGAGUGAUCGAAAGAUGAAAAGCACUUUGGAAAGAGAGUUAAAAAGCACGUGAAAUUGUUGAAAGGGAAGCGCCCGCAACCAGACUUUGCGGAGUGUUCCGCCGGUCUUCUGACGGUCUACUCGCUGUCGUGAGGCAUCAUCGUCUGGGACCGCUGGAUAGACCUUAGGAAUGUAGCUCCCUUCGGGGAGUGUUAUAGCCUCUGGUGAUGCAGCGCGUCUCGGGCGAGGUCCGCGCUUCGGCAAGGAUGAUGGCGUAAUGGUUGUCGGCGCCCGUCUUGAACACGGACCAAGGAGUCUAACACUAUGCGAGUGUUCGGGUGUCAAACCCCUACGCGUAAUGAAAGUGAACGGAGGUGGGAACUUUUUGUGCACCAUCGACCGAUCCUGAUGUCCUCGGAUGGAUUUGAGUAAGAGCAUAGCUGUUGGGACCCGAAAGAUGGUGAACUAUGCCUGAAUAGGGUGAAGCCAGAGGAAACUCUGGUGGAGGCUCGCAGCGGUUCUGACGUGCAAAUCGAUCGUCAAAUUUGGGUAUAGGGGCGAAAGACUAA